RNAcentral lists this ribosomal RNA (245 nucleotides) under uncultured Porphyromonadaceae bacterium. Its description in RNAcentral is "partial 16S ribosomal RNA". It matches the Rfam family "Bacterial small subunit ribosomal RNA", at positions 524 to 769 of the family's 1533-position model. The record is from RNAcentral. Lineage: Bacteria; Pseudomonadati; Bacteroidota; Bacteroidia; Bacteroidales; Porphyromonadaceae.
UACGGAGGAUGCGAGCGUUAUCCGGAUUUAUUGGGUUUAAAGGGUGCGCAGGCGGCCUGUUAAGUCAGCGGUAAAAGCCCGGGGCUCAACCCCGGCGAGCCGUUGAAACUGGCGGGCUGGAGUUGGAGAGAAGUACGCGGAAUGCGCGGUGUAGCGGUGAAAUGCUUAGAUAUCGCGCAGAACCCCGAUUGCGAAGGCAGCGUACCGGCUCCACACUGACGCUGAGGCACGAAAGCGUGGGUAUC